CCUACGGGGGGCAGCAGUGAGGAAUAUUGGUCAAUGGACGAGAGUCUGAACCAGCCAAGUAGCGUGAAGGAUGACUGCCCUAUGGGUUGUAAACUUCUUUUAUAUGGGAAUAAAAUGUUCCACGUGUGGGAUUUUGUAUGUACCAUAUGAAUAAGGAUCGGCUAACUCCGUGCCAGCAGCCGCGGUAAUACGGAGGAUCCGAGCGUUAUCCGGAGUUAUUGGGUUUAAAGGGAGCGUAGGUGGAUUGUUAAGUCAGUUGUGAAAGUUUGCGGCUCAACCGUAAAAUUGCAGUUGAAACUGGCAGUCUUGAGUACAGUAGAGGUGGGCGGAAUUCGUGGUGUAGCGGUGAAAUGCUUAGAUAGCACGAAGAACUCCGAUUGCGAAGGCAGUUCACUGGACUGCAACUGACACUGAGGCUCGAAAGUGUGGGUAUCAAACAGGAUUAGAUACCCUUGUAGUC
This 460-nucleotide ribosomal RNA is filed under the name uncultured bacterium. Its description in RNAcentral is "partial 16S ribosomal RNA". It matches the Rfam family "Bacterial small subunit ribosomal RNA", at positions 338 to 795 of the family's 1533-position model. The record is from RNAcentral.